This 253-nucleotide ribosomal RNA is filed under the name uncultured bacterium. RNAcentral describes it as "partial 16S ribosomal RNA". It matches the Rfam family "Bacterial small subunit ribosomal RNA", at positions 524 to 776 of the family's 1533-position model. The record is from RNAcentral.
UACGUAGGGUGCAAGCGUUGUCCGGAAUUAUUGGGCGUAAAGAGCUCGUAGGCGGUUACUCAAGUCGGAUGUGAAAGCCCUCGGCUUAACUGAGGAAGUGCACCCGAAACUGAGUAGCUAGAGUACUAAAGAGGGUCGCGGAAUUCCCGGUGUAGAGGUGAAAUUCGUAGAUAUCGGGAGGAACACCGGUGGCGAAGGCGGCGACCUGGGUAGAUACUGACGCUGAGGCGCGAAAGCGUGGGGAGCAAACAGG